RNAcentral lists this ribosomal RNA (1275 nucleotides) under Staphylococcus xylosus. RNAcentral describes it as "bacterial SSU rRNA". It matches the Rfam family "Bacterial small subunit ribosomal RNA", at positions 40 to 1274 of the family's 1533-position model. The record is from RNAcentral. Lineage: Bacteria; Bacillati; Bacillota; Bacilli; Caryophanales; Staphylococcaceae.
CCAAACGAGCGUCCUAUAAUGCAGUCGAGCGACAGAUAAGGAGCUUGCUCCUUUGACGUUAGCGGCGGACGGGUGAGUAACACGUGGGUAACCUACCUAUAAGACUGGGAUAACUUCGGGAAACCGGAGCUAAUACCGGAUAACAUUUGGAACCGCAUGGUUCUAAAGUGAAAGAUGGUUUUGCUAUCACUUAUAGAUGGACCCGCGCCGUAUUAGCUAGUUGGUAAGGUAACGGCUUACCAAGGCAACGAUACGUAGCCGACCUGAGAGGGUGAUCGGCCACACUGGAACUGAGACACGGUCCAGACUCCUACGGGAGGCAGCAGUAGGGAAUCUUCCGCAAUGGGCGAAAGCCUGACGGAGCAACGCCGCGUGAGUGAUGAAGGGUUUCGGCUCGUAAAACUCUGUUAUUAGGGAAGAACAAAUGUGUAAGUAACUGUGCACAUCUUGACGGUACCUAAUCAGAAAGCCACGGCUAACUACGUGCCAGCAGCCGCGGUAAUACGUAGGUGGCAAGCGUUAUCCGGAAUUAUUGGGCGUAAAGCGCGCGUAGGCGGUUUCUUAAGUCUGAUGUGAAAGCCCACGGCUCAACCGUGGAGGGUCAUUGGAAACUGGGAAACUUGAGUGCAGAAGAGGAAAGUGGAAUUCCAUGUGUAGCGGUGAAAUGCGCAGAGAUAUGGAGGAACACCAGUGGCGAAGGCGACUUUCUGGUCUGUAACUGACGCUGAUGUGCGAAAGCGUGGGGAUCAAACAGGAUUAGAUACCCUGGUAGUCCACGCCGUAAACGAUGAGUGCUAAGUGUUAGGGGGGUUUCCGCCCCUUAGUGCUGCAGCUAACGCAUUAAGCACUCCGCCUGGGGGAGUACGACCGCAAGGUUGAAACUCAAAGGAAUUGACGGGGACCSGCACAAGCGGUGGAGCAUGUGGUUUAAUUCGAAGCAACGCGAAGAACCCUUACCMAAUCUUGACAUCCUUUGAAAACUCUAAGAAGAAUAGAGCCUUCCCCCUUUCGGGGGGGRACAAAGGUGACARGUGRUGCAUUGGAUUGUCGUCCMAGCUUCGUGUCGUGGAGAUGUUGGGGRUWAAGUCCCGCAACGAGCGCARCMCYUAAGCUWAGUUGCMAUYMYWAAGUUGGGCACUCUAGGUUGACUGCCGGUGACAAAACCGGAGGAAGGUGGGGAUGACGUCAAAUCAUCAUGCCCCUUAUGAUUUGGGCUACACACGUGCUACAAUGGACAAUACAAAGGGCAGCUAAACCGCGAGGUCAUGCAAAUCC